UGGCAAACCAAGGCGCGAUGGUAUCGCA
Molecule: non-coding RNA, 28 nt
Filed under: Mus musculus (house mouse)
Lineage: Eukaryota; Metazoa; Chordata; Mammalia; Rodentia; Muridae
Source: RNAcentral